UGGGCAGAAGUCUAUAGGUAAGACAACUAGCUGUUAAUUAGUUUAUUGUGAGGUCAAAGCUCACCUGUCUAG
This 72-nucleotide transfer RNA is filed under the name Amerotyphlops reticulatus (reticulate worm snake). RNAcentral's name for it is "tRNA-Asn". It matches the Rfam family "tRNA". From Rfam's summary of the family: Transfer RNA (tRNA) molecules are approximately 80 nucleotides in length. The record is from RNAcentral. Lineage: Eukaryota; Metazoa; Chordata; Lepidosauria; Squamata; Typhlopidae.